Molecule: ribosomal RNA, 407 nt
Filed under: uncultured bacterium
Lineage: Bacteria
Description: partial 16S ribosomal RNA
Rfam family: Bacterial small subunit ribosomal RNA
Source: RNAcentral
GACGAACGCUGGCGGCGUGCCUAAUACAUGCAAGUAGGACGCAGUUGCCAACGGGUGAGUAACGCGUAGGUAAUUACAUCUUAGUGGGGGAGAAUUAUUGGAAACGAUAGUUAAUACCGCAUACUAGUAGAUUGACCUUCGUUGUAUUAGCUAGUAGGUAGGGUACAGGCUUAUCUAGGCGACGAUACAUAGCCGACCUGAGAGGGUGAUCGGACACACUGGGACUGAGACACGGCCCAGACUCCUACGGUAGGCAGCAGUAGGGAAUCUUCGGCAAUGGGGGGAACCCUGACCGAGCAACGCCGCGUGAGUGAAGAAGGUUUUCGGAUCGUAAAGCUCUGUUGUUAAGGAAGCGGUACUUAACCAGAAAGGGACGGCUAACUACGUGCCAGCAGCCGCGGUAAUUC